This 3035-nucleotide ribosomal RNA is filed under the name Arsenophonus endosymbiont of Aleurodicus dispersus. RNAcentral's name for it is "bacterial LSU rRNA". It matches the Rfam family "Bacterial large subunit ribosomal RNA". Lineage: Bacteria; Pseudomonadati; Pseudomonadota; Gammaproteobacteria; Enterobacterales; Morganellaceae. The record is from RNAcentral.
AAUUAAGCGUACACGGUGGAUGCCUAGGCAGUCAAAGGCGAUGAAAGACGUACUAAUCUGCGAAAAGCGUCGGUAAGCUGAUAUGAAGCGUACUAGCCGGCGAUGUCCGAAUGGGGAAACCCAGUGCAUUUAUGCACUAUCGUUUGAUGAAUUAAUAGUUAAGCGAAGCAAACCGUGGGAACUGAAACAUCUUAGUACCUCGAGGAAAAGAAAUCAACCGAGAUUCCCCUAGUAGUGGCGAGCGAACGGGGAUCAGCCAAGAGUCAACAUCACUAUUUAUAUUAGGAGAAUGGUCUGGAAAGACUAGCAGUAAAGGGUGAUAGCCCCGUAUCCGAAAGUAUAGGUAGAGUGAGCUCGAAGAGUAAGACGGGACACGUGUUAUCCUGUCUGAAGAAGGGGGGACCAUCCUCCAAGGCUAAAUACUAUUGACUGACCGAUAGUGAACAAGUACCGUGAGGGAAAGGUGAAAAGAACCUCGGCAAGAGGAGUGAAAUAGAACCUGAAACCGUGUACGUACAAGCAGUAGGAGCCCCACCACCAAAGUAUUUGCUUUUUUUUGACGGUUAAUGUCGCGCACCAAUCUUAUAACUCCGUAGAUAGAAUAAAGCUAAAUACCGGUGUCAAAUAAAUUGCGAUAAGGUUAGUUGCCGAAGGUGACAGCUGGAAAUUAUGGAGUACUUUGGGGUGGGGUAACUGCGUACCUUUUGUAUAAUGGGUCAGCGAGUUAUUUUCGGUAGCAAGCUUAACCGCAUAGGGGAGCCGUAGGGAAACCGAGUCUUAAUUGGGCGUUAAGUUGCAGGGUAUAGACCCGAAACCCGGUGAUCUAGCUAUGAGCAGAUUGAAGGUUGGGUAACACUAACUGGAGGAUCGAACCGACUAAUGUUGAAAAAUUAGCGGAUGACUUGUGGAUCGGAGUGAAAGGCUAAUCAAGCCGGGAGAUAGCUGGUUCUCCUCGAAAGCUAUUUAGGUAGCGCCUUAUGUAUUACCAUUGGGGGUAGAGCACUGUUUCGGGGGGGUCAUCCCGACUUACUAAAACGAGGCAAACUACGAAUACCGAAGAAUGUUAUCAUGGGAGACACACGGCGGGUGCUAACGUCCGUCGUGAAGAGGGAAACAACCCAGACCGCCAGCUAAGGUCCCCAAGUUAUGGUUAAGUGGGAAACGAAGUGGGAAAGCUUAGACAGCUAGGAGGUUGGCUUAGAAGCAGCCACCCUUUAAAGAAAGCGUAAUAGCUCACUAGUCUAGUUCUCCAGCGCGGAAAAUAUAACGGGGCUAAACCAUGCACCGAAGCUGCGGCAGCAACAGAAAUGUUGUUGGGUAGGGGAGCGUUCUGUAAGCCUGUAAAGGUAGACUGAGAGGUCUACUGGAGGUAUCAGAAGUGCGAAUGCUGACAUAAGUAACGAUAAAGUGGGUGAAAAACUCACUCGCCGAAAGACCAAGGGUUCCUGUCCAACGUUAAUCGGGGCAGGGUUAGUCGGUCCUAAGGUGAGGCUGAAAAGCGUAAUCGAUGGAAAACUGGUUAAUAUUCCCGUACCAUAUGUAUAUUGCGAUGGGGUGACGGAGAAGGCUAGGCUAUCCGGGUGACGGAUGUCUCGGUUUAAGCGAGUAGGUGGGUAGUGUAGGUAAAUCCGCAUUGCUAUAACAUUGAGUCGUGAUGACGAGCCACUAAGGUGGUGAAGUAGUUGAUGCCAGGCUUCCAGGAAAAGCCUCUAAGCUAUAGGUAACUAUUAAUCGUACCACAAACCGACACAGGUGGUUAAGUAGAGUAUACUAAGGCGUUUGAGAGAACUCGGGUGAAGGAACUAGGCAAAAUGGCACCGUAACUUCGGGAGAAGGCACGCUGGCAUUAGGUGAUGGGUCUUGCAUUCGGAGCUGAAGCCAGUCGAAGAUACCAGGUGGCUGCAACUGUUUAUUAAAAACACAGCACUCUGCUAACGCGUAAGCGGAUGUAUAGAGUGUGACGCCUGCCCAGUGCUGGAAGGUUAAUUGAUGGGGUAAGUCGUAAGGCGAAGCUCUUAAUCGAAGCCCCAGUAAACGGCGGCCGUAACUAUAACGGUCCUAAGGUAGCGAAAUUCCUUGUCGGGUAAGUUCCGACCUGCACGAAUGGCGUAAUGAUGGCCACACUGUCUCCAUCCGAGACUCAGUGAAAUUGAAAUUGCUGUGAAGAUGCAGUAUACCCACGGUAAGACGGAAAGACCCCGUGAACCUUUACUAUAGCUUGACACUGAACAUUGAGCCUUAAUGUGUAGAAUAGGUGGGUGGCUUUGAAGUGUAGACGCCAGUCCGCAUGGAGCCAACGGUGAAAUACCACCCUUUAAUGUUUGAUGUUCUAACUUAGGCCCGUAAUCCGGGUUGAGGACAGUGUGUGGUGGGUAGUUUGACUGGGGCGGUCUCCUCCCAAAGAGUAACGGAGGAGCGCAAAGGUUGGCUAAUCACGGUCAGACAUCGUGAGGUUAGUGCAAUGGCAUAAGCCAGCUUGACUGCGAGCGUGACGGCGCGAGCAGAUACGAAAGUAGGUCUUAGUGAUCCGGUGGUUGCUGUAUGGAAGGGCCAUCGCUCAACGAAUAAAAGGUACUCCGGGGAUAACAGGCUAAUACCGCCCAAGAGUUCACAUCGACGGCGGUGUUUGGCACCUCGAUGUCGGCUCAUCACAUCCUGGGGCUGAAGCAGGUCCCAAGGGUAUGGCUGUUCGCCAUUUAAAGUGGUACGCGAGCUGGGUUUAGAACGUCGUGAGACAGUUCGGUCCCUAUCUACCGCGGGCGUAGGAAGUUUGAGAGGGGCUAUUCCUAGUACGAGAGGACCAGAGUGGACGAACCACUGGUGUUCCGGUUGUCAUGCCAAUGGCAUAGCCUGGUAGCUAAGUGCGGAAGAGAUAACCGCUGAAAGCAUCUAAGCGGGAAACUUGCCUCAAGAUGAGUCUUCCCAGACAGUAAUGUCCUAUAAGGGGUGUUCGAGACGAGGACGUAGAUAGGCUGAGUGUGUAAGCAUAGCAAUAUGUUAAGCUAAUCAGUACUAAUUCCCCGGGAGGCUUAACC